GGAUGUAGCUCAGUUGGUAGAGCAUUUGCCUUGAAUGCACAAGGCCCUGGGUUUGAUCCCCAGCACA
This is a non-coding RNA of Ictidomys tridecemlineatus (thirteen-lined ground squirrel), 67 nucleotides long. NCBI's taxonomy places the organism in Eukaryota, Metazoa, Chordata, Mammalia, Rodentia, Sciuridae. The record is from the annotation of a RefSeq genome assembly.